GGAUCAGAAAAGUGUGGAGCCCGUUUGGAUAAAACGGCGACGUUUGGAGUCGUCUCCCCCCCUCUACGUACCCGCAGAAAUCACCUCUGUUCCGCCUUCAUGGAUUACAGGAGGACAGGCGGCGGCGCUUCAUCUUACCAGAAACUAGAAGAUGGAAGAUUGUGUGCUUGAGUCCUUGCUUGAUGCCGUGGACAGGUUCCCGCUCCGGGAGGAGUUCGUCGAUAGCUUGGAUCACACAGAUCCGGUGCCUCUGGCCUUUCUGCUGGAGAGCUUGGCCAACGGUGGAGUCCCGGGGGACUCAAACAAUGGGUCUGGUUGCGGGCAGCAGAUCGGCAGCGCUGUCCCGGAGAGAGCACACGGGGUGGUGUGCCGUCGUCCGGAUGCUUCUCCUACUUAGUCGGCGCAGUCAACUGACAGAAUCAACCGGCAAGCCCCCGCUGGACGAAAAGGUCUGAACCCCAAACACUGUCAUUGUAGAAUUGCAUUUGUUCAGAGUGUUUGCCCCACGUUCAUGUAGCCAAACAAAAAAAAAGAAUAUCUGAGGUCACAGUAGCACGAAUGAAAAAUGCAGGAACUGAUCUAUGCAGCAGUAGAAAUGUAAACCAUGGUAGGCGAUCGUAACAGUAUAGCUGCUGUAACUACUUUUAUGCAAAUUCAGCUGGAAGUAUUUUACUAUUGAAGGCCGGUUUGUAAAUUUAGGUUACGACUCGGUAGUGCACCACCAGACAGGACUCCAUGCCCAUCACGGAUGAGUGCAUUGGAACAAUCUAUUCGGAAGUAUGUGGAACCUAUGAAAAGUUUAGUACAUCCCACACUAGGCCUAAGUUUCAGUUCAUUGUGAGAGGCGACUUCUAUAAGAGCCGGCUAAACGCCGAAAGGACAAAGUCAAUGCAAGAAAUUGUCUGCGGCUGCUCGGUAAAAACUGAUUCAUGUAAUUAUCGUUUUGGAAAAUAAGUGGCAGCCAUGGGUUUCGGUGCUGCAAGUGUGUUUAAAUGAUGGCAUUUGUGUUUUUAUCAAAUUAUACAGGGGAAACGAGAGGCAGAGAAUAGUAGGUCAUGCCACUAUGAGUGUCCUGCAUUUAUAAGGCUGCUGCGCACGACCCACAACAGCUGGUACAUAAUAGUGCAAGGACAUGGCCCAUGACAAAUAUAACAAAGGCUAUCUGGAAACAAUCUUUUUCAAGCUUGCUGGAAUUCUUGUUGAUGUCACGCAAAAGGAACUCUUCUGCUGCACGCAAGCUGUGAACCCCUAUCUUAUUCAUUUCAAGUGAUACCUAUAAGAACUAAAUUGCUUCAGGGUUUAUGUUGGCAUCCGUGCCUUUGAUUUUGCGAUGACUGCAAGGGAUCCCAAAAACCUUGUAUACAUCCUCAGCCCAGAACUUGAGGACCUUGAUGUCUGUCAGCACUAUCUCUCUCCAACUGACACUUACCCUGCUCAUUAUCCAAGAGAAGGUAACAACCGAAGCUGAUAAUGCAUGUAUUACAUGUAAAAUAGGAGUGGAAGAGGUGCUGUCCAGAUACAUGAAAAAUUGUACUGUUCAGUUAAAAUUCGAGGAAGAGAAUAAGAGAUACGGUGAGUUCCUGUUCAA
Molecule: long non-coding RNA, 1588 nt
Organism: Triticum aestivum (bread wheat)
Lineage: Eukaryota; Viridiplantae; Streptophyta; Magnoliopsida; Poales; Poaceae
Exons: 2
Source: RefSeq, a predicted model, not a curated record